GACGGAGGAUGCAAGUGUUAUCCGGAAUCACUGGGCGUAAAGCGUCUGUAGGUGGUUUAAUAAGUCAACUGUUAAAUCUUGAGGCUCAACCUCAAAAUCGCAGUCGAAACUAUUAGGCUAGAGUAUAGUAGGGGUAAAGGGAAUUUCCAGUGGAGCGGUGAAAUGCGUAGAGAUUGGAAAGAACAUCGGUGGCGAAGGCGCUCUACUGGACCACAACUGACACUCAGGGACGAAAGCUAGGGGAGCGAAUGGG
Molecule: ribosomal RNA, 253 nt
Filed under: uncultured bacterium
Lineage: Bacteria
Description: partial 16S ribosomal RNA
Rfam family: Bacterial small subunit ribosomal RNA
Source: RNAcentral